GAGUUUGAUCAUGGCUCAGGAUGAACGCUGGCGGCGUGCCUAAUACAUGCAAGUCGAGCGAACAGACGGGGAGCUUGCUCCCCUGACGUUAGCGGCGGACGGGUGAGUAACACGUGGGUAACCUACCUAUAAGACUGGAAUAACUCCGGGAAACCGGGGCGAAUGCCGGAUAACAUGUUGGACCGCAUGGUCCUACAGUGAAAGACGGUCUUGCUGUCACUUAUAGGUGGACCCGCGCCGUAUUAGCUAGUUGGUAAGGUAACGGCUUACCAAGGCAACGAUACGUAGCCGACCUGAGAGGGUGAUCGGCCACACUGGAACUGAGACACGGUCCAGACUCCUACGGGAGGCAGCAGUAGGGAAUCUUCCGCAAUGGGCGAAAGCCUGACGGAGCAACGCCGCGUGAGUGAUGAAGGCCUGGUCGUAAACGUACUCGUUAUUAGGUAAGAACGAAAUAGUAGUAAGUAAAGUAAUAGUCACGUACGUUCGUACGGUACCGUAAC
This 503-nucleotide ribosomal RNA is filed under the name uncultured microorganism. Its description in RNAcentral is "bacterial SSU rRNA". It matches the Rfam family "Bacterial small subunit ribosomal RNA", at positions 9 to 484 of the family's 1533-position model. The record is from RNAcentral.